GUGGGGAAUAUUGCACAAUGGGCGGAAGCCUGAUGCAGCAACGCCGCGUGCGGGAUGACGGCCUUCGGGUUGUAAACCGCUUUCGCCUGUGACGAAGCGUGAGUGACGGUAAUGGGUAAAGAAGCACCGGCUAACUACGUGCCAGCAGCCGCGGUGAUACGUAGGGUGCGAGCGUUGUCCGGAUUUAUUGGGCGUAAAGGGCUCGUAGGUGGUUGAUCGCGUCGGAAGUGUAAUCUUGGGGCUUAACCCUGAGCGUGCUUUCGAUACGGGUUGACUUGAGGAAGGUAGGGGAGAAUGGAAUUCCUGGUGGAGCGGUGGAAUGCGCAGAUAUCAGGAGGAACACCAGUGGCGAAGGCGGUUCUCUGGGCCUUUCCUGACGCUGAGGAGCGAAAGCGUGGGGAGCGAACAGGCUUAGAUACCCUGGUAGUCC
Molecule: ribosomal RNA, 430 nt
Filed under: uncultured Propionibacterium sp.
Lineage: Bacteria; Bacillati; Actinomycetota; Actinomycetes; Propionibacteriales; Propionibacteriaceae
Description: bacterial SSU rRNA
Rfam family: Bacterial small subunit ribosomal RNA
Source: RNAcentral